UUCACUCUGCAUAAUAGGCUCCAGUUUCAUCCACCUCAUUAGAACUGAUUAAAGAUUUCUUAAAGUCAUAUUCUUCAAGAAUAAACAGAUUCAUGAGGAAAGUGGUAAAUAUUGGUUCAUUUGUAUAUUCACAGUGCCUGACACAUAGAAAAGUCAUUUUUAAGUGAUGUAUAUAUAAAAUCCUCCAAUAAAAUUGCCACUUUUUAUUUUAGUUUCUAAAAUAGCAAAGUUGACUCUACUAUUUCUCCUUUGGGGGAUUAAGAAGAGAUGAAUGAGAGAAUUAGAUCUGCUAUUUGUAAACUUGUUUUUAAACAUUUUUAAUUGAACUAUUGGUAUUACUUGUAUCCACCUAGCUAAACUCUAUACCAGUUCUUGUACACAUUUGCAAUAAAAUUAUCUUUACCUGGAACAAAAUGCUUGUUGUAUGCACAGAGAAAAAAGAGGACAGAACUGGGUUCUGGAAGUUGGACCAAAUCACAGGGAGGUAUUUGCUGUUUUCUGUUUCCAUGCUUGGAGAGAAUGGGAGGCAGUAGCACUAAUAGUAACUACAAGUCUGAGAACCUGCCAGGGAGAAAUGACUUGAUUGUCUAUUCAGUUUAAUAUCACUACAAACAUUUCAUAGUGAACACCAUUACAUCCCUUUCGCAGGCCACGAAACUAGCGCUUAGAUUGCUGAAGUCCCUUGCUCUUAUUCCCCAGUUUUCUUCUCCAUGCCCCCCCCCCCCAAGGAGACUGUUUGCUGGAGCAGCUGAGAACAGAGAACUUUGCAAAGAGGUUUCCUUCCCUUGGAGUUUAAUUUGCAGACUGGAGACAAAGAUAUGGCACAAGAGAGGUCUCCAGGGAUUUGUGAAAACAGAAGCAACUUUCCUUAGUCACACCAAAGAGAAGAGCAAUGAGUGGCAGCAAGGAGUGGCAGAGAAUAAAAUUUCUCAGCCAAAAGCUAGACCUGACCCAACCUUUGGUCUCCUUCUCAGACUGCCCCACCAGCGGGAUUUCUUCUCCAAGCCCAGAAAACAAAAGAAGGAAAAGAGAUCCAUAACUCUCAGAAUGAAAAGGGUAGGAGAAUGAGUGAAGUGUCAUUCCUUUCCUCUUUUCUAUGGUGGAUCCCUAAGCUCCCAGUCAGGCCUGAGCUAGGCAGGGGCCAUGUGAAAAUUUUGGAUUGGCUGGGAGAUCUAAGCUGUGACCUGUGUCAGGCUGAAUCAUAGCUUACCUGAAAGCUAGUCUUUAUUAACUAAAUGGGAUGAGACUUAAUCUAAAGCUGCCCGACAGCUCUGGUAUGUCUUAUCUCCAUAAAACAUAGAGAAAGAUUUUCUAGGAGUGAAUGUAGUCCCAGCUAAACAUAAAGCUGUUUCUUGGCUAUAGGCAACCAAGUUUCACCUGAUCACUCUGUAGGUAAAAUAAAUAGUAACCUAACAGAGUUUCCUGGAGAAGGCAAUGGCACCCCACUCCAGUACUCUUGCCUGG
This 1464-nucleotide long non-coding RNA is filed under the name Capra hircus (goat). RNAcentral's name for it is "lncRNA (ENSCHIG00010005357.1)". The record is from RNAcentral. Lineage: Eukaryota; Metazoa; Chordata; Mammalia; Artiodactyla; Bovidae.